AUGGGCUCCAGGCUCCUCUGCUGGGUGGCCCUUGGGCUCCUGGGAGCAGGCCCUGCAGAUGCUGAGGUCACUCAAAGUCCCAGAUACCUGGUCAAAGCAAGGAGUCAGCCAGUGACCCUGACUUGCAACUAUGAGUCUGGGCACCAGUAUGUAGCCUGGUACCAGCAGGCCCUGGGAAUGAGUCUCGACUUCCUUGUUUCUUACUACGGUGGGCAAGAGAAUGAGAGAGGCAGCCUUCCUGUUCGCUUCUCAGUCACACUGUUAAAAAACGACUUCAUCACUGAGCUGAGCAUAAGCUCCGUGGAAGUGGUCGACUCUGCCCUGUACCUCUGUGCCAGCAGCCUCACAGCCCUGCCUGCUCAGCUGUCUCCUGCACAAAAACAUCCCUGGCCAGCCCAGGAAGUGGCAGUGUGA
This is a non-coding RNA of Sorex fumeus (smoky shrew), 414 nucleotides long. The record is from the annotation of a RefSeq genome assembly. NCBI's taxonomy places the organism in Eukaryota, Metazoa, Chordata, Mammalia, Eulipotyphla, Soricidae.